GCCGGCGUAGCUCAAAGGAAGAGCAGCUGAUUCGUAAUCAGCAGGUUGUAGGUUCAAUUCCUAUCGCCGGCUCCA
RNAcentral lists this transfer RNA (75 nucleotides) under Candidatus Aerophobota bacterium. Its description in RNAcentral is "tRNA-Thr". It matches the Rfam family "tRNA". From Rfam's summary of the family: Transfer RNA (tRNA) molecules are approximately 80 nucleotides in length. Their secondary structure includes four short double-helical elements and three loops (D, anti-codon, and T loops). Lineage: Bacteria; Candidatus Aerophobota. The record is from RNAcentral.